Molecule: long non-coding RNA, 5487 nt
Filed under: Sus scrofa (pig)
Lineage: Eukaryota; Metazoa; Chordata; Mammalia; Artiodactyla; Suidae
Description: lncRNA (ENSSSCG00040061849.1)
Source: RNAcentral
UGAGGCUGACAACAUUUUGAAAGGUGUUUAUUGUUAAAUAAGUGUGAUGGUCAUGAGCUCGAAACUUUUUCCAGGAGAUACACACACCUAUUUAAUCUGCGAUGCCCAAACUAUUUUACCCAAAGUCCUUCACCCAAUGUGUGAGUUCCUUCAAGAUGUGGCGAAAAAUCUGCCACCUCAGCUUUAUGUCUACAGCUAAAAAUCAGCCUGAAAAGAACACUGAAACAUAGUCUGUGCUUUGCUAUCUCCGAAGGAUUAAGAGACUGGGUCAGAAUCCUUACUUUUCCCCCUCUAGGUAUAUAAAUCAUGGACAGGUUACUUAGUUUAAAAAAAAAAAAUAAAUAAAAGCCCAGGUUUCCUUAUCUGUUAACAGGAAAAGAAUAGGGACGACUUCAUGGGAUCAUGAUGAAGGUAAAAUGAGACGAUGUCCAAGAUGCUCUGCUAAGUGGCUAAAGAAACAGGCGAUUAUUUACCUCCCCAGCAUCUCACAUUGUCUACUUAGGUGUACUUCUCGCCAUUCCAACUGCAUACAUUAGGAGACCUGCAAGGAGUGUGUUUAGGAAUAAAGGAGGGCAACCAAAGUGGUGAUGCACCCCGGGAGUAGCAACCGGGAGAAUUACCUGCAGGCUUUGCUAGGGCCCGGGGAAGAGGGAGUUACCAGAACUCAGAAAGAGCUCUAGCUGCGGUGUAGCUGACGCUCUAGCUAGAGCCACCAGACGGUAGUGGCUUUUGACAGCAAUGAAGAUGCCUAAGGAAUCAAUAGGGAGCUACCUAAGGCAGGGGUCAGUAAGUUUGUUCUGUAAAGGGCCAGAAAAUUAGUAAUUUAGGUUUGCAGGCCUUAAGGCCUCUGGCACAGUUACCCAACUCUGUCAUAAAAAGAGAGUAAAAGCAGCCACAGACAAUAAGUCAAUGGAUGGGCAUGGCAGUGUGCCAAUAAAACUUUAUUUUUAGGAGCUCCUGUCGUGGCACAGCAGAAACAAAUCUGUCUAGGAACCAUGAGGUUUAUAAAAAUUAACUACAGGCUAGAUUUGGGCUGAGGGUUACAAUUUGCGGACCCCUGGCCUGUGGAAUGCAUAAACCCUACACUCCUUUCCUGCCCUCCCUUCUCCUGUCAGUGCCUUCCACGAACUGAACACAAGGAAAGCCAGAGGGUUGAUAGAGUCACAAAGUCAGGCCCUCAGGGACAGAGCAGGAAGAGAAGGGGAAAGAAAUUCUAGUCAAAGCUUCAUAGGAGAAGAUCCAGCACAAAGGUAUUCAGCAAAGGCCUGUCGAAACGAAUGAAUCCUAUGCUUGGUCACUGUGAAUUACUCUAAAAUGGUUGAACACUCCUGGGAAAGCUAUCAAAAUUGCAUCCUUGAAUAGGCAAAGCCAGGAAAGGGUCCUGGGUUGGGGUGACGGCACCCAAAGCCUGUGAUGCUCCAUUAGCUUCUCUCUUGAUUUUGCAAUCCCAUGCACUUCUGACUUGCCAAUGAAACAUUAACCUAGCCAAAAUAAUCCUUCUUCUGAAUUCCAGACUACUGCUCAAGUAGUAUGGUGUUCAGGGAUUUUGCAAAAUAUGCACAUGAGAAAUACUGUGCCUUAAAAUGAGGGAGCCAAAUGUUUUUCGUCAAAGAACACUUGUUGUGAUAAGUGUGACAGGUCUCAGAAAUUUCUGCACAAUGAGAAGCGACAACAGAUGCAAGAAAAACCAGGCUUGGACAUACCCCACGUCAAUUUCUGCAGCCAACCCCUCAGACUCUUUCAAUACGGGAGAAACCUUCACCCAUGUGGGGUGCUAGGUCGAUACUCCUAAAAUUAGAAAGUUGAUUUCCACUCAAGCUUCCUCUCUUCCUAUUUUUUUUAUUUUUUAAUUUUUUAAUUUUUUGCUUUUUAGGCCUGCACCCACAGCAUAUGGAGGUUCCCAGGCUAGGAGCGGAAUCAGAGCUUUAGCUGCUGGCCACAGCCAGAGCAACACAAGAUCCGAGCCGUGUCUGCAACCUACUCCACAGCUCCCGACAAUGCCAGAUCCUUAACCCACUGAGCGAGGCCAGGGAUCAAACCCACAACCUCACGGUUCCUAGUAGGAUUCGUUUCCUCUGUGCCACGAUGGGAACGCCUCUCCCACUUUCUUUGGCUUUCUCUCGUCCCUCAUUGUUCCUGUUUGGCUUUGUUCUUCCGGAGAAGCCGUGAGGGUAGUAGGUAGGCAUGUAAGCAUUGGUGUGAGCCAGACCUAGACUUAAUCUCUCUUUCGUCAACUCACUUUUCCCAUAAGGACACUGGAAAAUGUCAUAGUAUUUUCGAGAAGAUUAAGUGAUGCAUGUUCUCAAUGUAGAUGAGCUGUUAUUGGGGUUUAUUUUAUUUUGUUUCAUCUUCUCCUCCCCUUUGUAUUCAGAACACAUUCUCAAUCUUUUUGCUACAAAGAGAAAAGAGUUGGACAUUUGGAGGGAAGAGGAAGAAGGAAUCCGGUGUGCUCCUCAGCUUGUUCUAUUGAUUUCUCAAGGCUUUAUAUUUCUCAAAUGAACAGCAAAUUUCAGAAUAUCACCUAUAUCUUCCCACCCUAAUAAAAUAUUCUACUAUUAAAAAUAGAAAUAUCUUAUACACAGGGAGUACAAAACCAUAUAUUGUUUAAAAUAAGAAGUAGUUUAGGAAAGAAAAUUUCUUAAAUGACAACUCCCAUUGUUGUGGCACUCCCAAGUUAUCUUGGGAAUGAAACCUUUUUUAAUCAUCAAGGAAUUUAAAAAUCUGUUUAGGUAAGAUAAGGACAGGAACCACCCACAGAACAAGUCACAAUUCCUGCAAACAGGUUCUAGUGACUCCUGGGUCCCUCCACCCUUAAAUGAAAAAAGCAGAGAAAACUAACUUUUAGUUCACCUCCACUACUAUUAGCAGUAGGGACCCUUCCUGAAAAAAAUGUUGAGAAAUUUCCAAUCCCCUUUAUAUUUCCAGGAUGAACCUUGUUGGUUUCUAAUAUUUUACAAAGUGCCCAAGUAUCCAUGACACCCUUUAAGAGUUACUUAUGUGGGGAGUUCCCUUCAUGGCUGAGCAGUUAAUGAACCCGACUAGGAUCCAUGAGGAUUCUGGUUCAAUUCCUGGCCUAGCUCAGUGGGUUACGAAUCUGGAAUUGCCGUGAGCUAUAGUAUAGGUCACAGAUGAGGCUUGGAUCCCGAGUUGCUGUGGUGUGGUGUAGGCGAGUAGCUGUAGCUCUGAUUUGACCCCUAGCCUGGGAACCUCUACAUGCUGAGAGUGCAGCCCUAAAAAGACAAAAGACAAAAGACCAAAAAAAAAAAAAAAGGGGGGAAAGAUGUUACCAGAAUCUGGGUUCUUGUUCACACAGUCAAAGAAUGAACUCCGUGAACACACAGGCAGCAAGCAAGCAAAGUCUUUAUUACAGGAAAGCAAAGAGCUCCCAGGGCUGCUGGGAGGGGGGAGAAGAGCCCCUGCUCUCCAUUGUCCUAUAGGGGUUUUUAUCCCUUAGAGAUGGGGAGGGGGUACCAACGUGGGUCCAGAAAGAUGUGGUUUUCUCCUAUUGGUCUUGCUCAAUUACCCAUAUCAGUCCUUGUCCAGUAAGGGUCUUAGAGGUGGCAAUGUCCCAUAUGUCUCAUGGUUUCUUUGCCCUUCUCUUCCCAUAAACUGAGUCACAGGGAGUUAGGGAUUAAUGUGCAGAGGUACACUCCCUAUGGUAAACAAGGCCUGUGGGGACGUUACUCCCUGGAGCCCUUAAGCCACAAAUGUUAAUUAAUCAAUAUCCAUAUCAAAGAAUGCAUCGUAGCCCAGGCUCCUACACUACCCGAGUUGGUAUUCUGCCUCAACAUGGUAUCAUUUAUAUGUGUGGGAACUGCAGUUUGGCCCUUGCCAUCAGCCUCUACACAGAGUGGAACAUGAACCACGGCAGCUGCCCACCCACAGCACCCCCUGAGUGGAGCUCAGGGGGGAGACCAGGAGGGAGGCACGCUGUUCUCUGAGAAAACUGGAAGAACAGGUCUUCAGACAGAUAUUUUUAGGAGCAGAUUUUAUGAACCCAAUUCUUGCAUCUCCUCAUAUCUAGAAAAACACGAAAGUCCAUCAAUGAGGACUAAAGGCUGCGACUUGUAACCUUCACGAGACCAGCAGCAAACUUCUGUAAAAUGUGUGCAUGGCUGCAGGCACCUUCCCCGUCACCUUUACGACUUAGAUCUUAAUAUUCCCCCUCUCAGUAUUUCAGUACUUCUGGGCUGUACUUAGUGGGCAAAACAAAAGAUGUCACAGUCAUCUGUGAGAACAGCCACUCCCAAGGGUGGGCCAGUGAGCCACGAGGGAACGCAGGAACGAGGGAACGCAGGAACGCAUCAAAGGCGGGAUUCCAGUAAGCCCAGACCUUUACGUCUUCCCAUAGAAAUGAUUUUCGGGAAACCUUCUGUAAAUCUGGUAAAUCUUUUGUUCUUACUACCUCCCUUUUGUGGAAAGAACUCAUAUAUGCUAGAGCUUCCCCUCUCACCUCCUCUGAGUGGUUUCUCGGGGCUACCUGAGAUGCUGACUCCCAGGCUUAAGUCCUAAUUUCACCCCAAGUAAAACUUAACUCUCAACUUUCAGGCUAUAUUUUUUUAAUUGACAUGUGGAAUUUAAAAUAUGGCACAGGAGUUCCCGUCGUGGCAGAGCGGAAAUGAAUCCGACUAGAAACCAUGAGGUUGCAGGUUCAACCCCUGGCCCCACUCAGUGAGUUAAGGAUCUGGCGAUGCCAUGAACUGUGGUGUAGGUCGCAGACAUGGCACGGAUCUGGUGUUGCUGUGGCUGUGACAGAGGCUGGCAGCUGUAGAUCCGAUUCGACCCCUAGCCUAGGAACCUCCAUAUGCCACGGGUGCGGCCCUAAGAAGCAAAAAAAUAAAAUAAAAUAAAAUAUGGCACAAAUGAACCUAGCUAUAAAACAGUAACAGACUCAUGGACAUAGAGAACGGACUUAUGGUUGAAGGGAGAAAGUGGGAUGAAUUGGGAGUUGGGGUUGGUAGAUGCGAACUAUUACAUUUAGAAUGGAUAAGCAAUGAGGUCCUACUGUAUGGGGCAGGAACUAUACCCAGUCUCUUGAGAUAGACCAUGAUGGAAGAUGAUAUAAGAAAAGGAAUAUAUAUAUGGUAUUUGUUUUUCUCCGUCUGACUUAUUUCACUUAGUAUGAUAAUCUCUAGUUGCAUCCAUGUUGCUGAAAAUGGCAUUAUUACAUUAUUUCUUAUGGCUAAGUAGUAUUCUAUUGCAUAUAUGUACAUAUCUUCUUAAUCCAUUCAUCUGUUGAUGGACAUUUAGGUUGUUUCCAGGUCUUGGCUAUUGUGAAUAUAUAUACUCAGCCACUUUGAUGUAUGGUAGAAAUUGGCACAAAACUGUAAAUCAACUAUAAUUUAAAAAAAUAAAAAAUAAAAAAAAGAAUGAAGUGAGGUGGAGUUUCUGCUAUGGCACAACAAGAUCAGUGGUGUCUUGGGAGAACUGGGAUGCAGGUUCUGUCCCUGGCCUGGCACAGUGGGUUAAGGAUCCGGCAUUGCCACA